UCUCAUACGAGGGAAACGAUUAAAAGGGAAUCAGGUGUAAAUCCUGGACAGUCCCGCUGCUGUAAGUUCCAUAUAUUAUGUUGUGAGCAACCGAACUCAUGAGCCACUGGAUAAGUUUUCCGGGAAGGCGUUCACAACAGGAAUAAGUCAGAAGACCUGCCAUGUAACCUA
Molecule: non-coding RNA, 171 nt
Filed under: Bacteroides bouchesdurhonensis
Lineage: Bacteria; Pseudomonadati; Bacteroidota; Bacteroidia; Bacteroidales; Bacteroidaceae
Source: RNAcentral